GAUGAACGCUGGCGGCGUGCUUAACACAUGCAAGUCGAACGGUAAGGCCCUUCGGGGUACACGAGUGGCGAACGGGCGAGUAACACGUGGGUGAUCUGCCCUGCACUUCGGGAUAAGCCUGGGAAACUGGGUCUAAUACCGGAUAGGACCCUGGGAUGCAUGUCCUGGGGUGGAAAGCUUUUGCGGUGUGGGAUGGGCCCGCGGCCUAUCAGCUUGUUGGUGGGGUGAUGGCCUACCAAGGCGACGACGGGUAGCCGGCCUGAGAGGGUGACCGGCCACACUGGGACUGAGAUACGGCCCAGACUCCUACGGGGGGCAGCAGUGGGGAAUAUUGCACAAUGGGCGCAAGCCUGAUGCAGCGACGCCGCGUGAGGGAUGACGGCCUUCGGGUUGUAAACCUCUUUCAGCACCGACGAAGCGCAAGUGACGGUAGGUGCAGAAGAAGGACCGGCCAACUACGUGCCAGCCGCCGCAGUAA
This 478-nucleotide ribosomal RNA is filed under the name uncultured bacterium. RNAcentral describes it as "partial 16S ribosomal RNA". It matches the Rfam family "Bacterial small subunit ribosomal RNA", at positions 28 to 523 of the family's 1533-position model. The record is from RNAcentral.